Molecule: long non-coding RNA, 2022 nt
Filed under: Macaca fascicularis (crab-eating macaque)
Lineage: Eukaryota; Metazoa; Chordata; Mammalia; Primates; Cercopithecidae
Description: lncRNA (ENSMFAG00000049917.1)
Source: RNAcentral
AAAAGAAAGGGAAAGAAAAUGUGUAUUUGAGAUCAUUUAAUUCCUAACUCUCCAAAGUGUGUUUCACAUAGAGCAGCUUUGGUAUCAUCUGUCAGUUUCUUAGAAAUGUGGAAUACCAGGCCCUACCCUAGAACCACCAUUGCCAAAUGUGCAUUUGGUGAAAUCUCUGGGACAUUCCUAGACACACUCAAGUUUGAGAAGCACUAACAUAGGUCCAUUGCAAUAAAGAGGUUUCCACUGCAAUAAAGAGUUAGUGCGAUUCUGUCACAUCUUUUCUAUUUGUAGGACUGGGCUUGACGAUGUUGGGAUGAAAGGAAGGGGUCUUCUCCAGAAAGAACCUACAAUUUGUUUGGUAAUGGAAGGUGCUAUUCAUCUAUACCCUAACUCAGCUCCUGAUAUGCACAAGUUACUUCAGAAUGAGACAUAGGCUGGUUCUCCAGAAACACGUAUUGCAGCAAAGUGAAAGUAAUAUUUAUCCAAAUAUAAUUACAAGGCCAAAUUGCUUCAUUAGGCAUAAACAAAAAAUAAACAAAAUAAUGUACAAUCUUCAAGUGAAGGCAUCACACCCUCAGAGAAGUCAGUGCUACCAGAGGUGGCAUUUAGCCCACACCUAGACAGGCAGGUAGGACAUUAACCAAGAAACUACAGAACAAGGUAUUCCAGGUUUAAUCCAAAUGAGAAACAAAUAGCGAACCAAAGAGGUACACGGUCGUGUGCCACGUGUCCUGUGGAGGCAAAAAAAUAUAUAUGGCAAUGACUCCCUAAUAAACAAGACUACCAAAGGGUUCUGAGAGCUCUAAGAAACCGUAACCCAUGGCACUGAUCCGAGAGGCUCAAAUAUUGACUCAAUUGGGAGGUGGUGAAGUCCAACACCUGAAAGUUGAUGAUGUCCUGUUGGCUUCUUUCAGGUUGCUGUAUCUGAUGUGUAAUCACAUCAUUAAGAUAGCCAGGGCCAAUUUGUAAUGAACAAGAACCUUGUUUUCUGACACAUUACCCAAAGUUGCCAAAAACAGUAGUGAACUAUGUAUGAAGAAAAAGGCACCAUAAUAAUCUACACAUUGAAAUUCAGAAACAGGACACAAUGCCAGCAAUUACUGUAUCUGUAUAUGAAAGGCAUACUUCUCUGGCAUCAAUAAUACCACUUUAGGCUUUCUUGAGAGUAAUAUUUUACAUAAUGUAUAUAUUAAUAUCACAUUAAUAUUAAUGCUCUGGCCUUGGAAAACUUAUGAUAAUGAUAUAGCAUAAUUGUUUUGUUAAACCCUGUAGGUUGAGAAAUUUUUUUUUUAACUGGACAGAUUAAUUCAUCUGGAUAUUCUAAAAACACAUGGGUGGAACAGAGGCAAGAAAACCAGUUCUGACCAGACAUGGCAGAGACAAAGAGUAAGUUUUGAGGCCACUGGUGCAGAGUCACAUUGAAGGGUAAGAAUACUCAGUCGCUAAAUUGCAUGCAGAGUUCAUUUGGGUUUCCCCAAAGUGCCUGUAAGAAGGUUUCCGUCUGGCUCAGCAGACUAGCAGCAGCAAUGCUGACAGCAGGCAGUUAUCCAAUCCAGGUAGUCGGCGACACGCCACGUUAAUAACACACAAACCUGCAUUCACUGUAAGGCUAGAGAGAAUAAAACAAUGCGUGUUCAGGAGGUCAGAGUCCACCGAGUUCAGGGAGGUAGAGCUGGAAACCGGAGAAAGAGAUAAAUGGUUGAGAUAGGGAUGAUCAACGGCUGGUGGAUGGAAGGAAAGUUGGAUGUAGCUACUAUUUAUUCAGUAUCCAAGAUGGGCCAGUCAGUGCAUUAUGUAAUUUAAUACUCAUAAAAUGUUGCCAAGUAGACAGCUCUACUCUAUUUGAUAUAAAGAAAUGUGUUCCUCAGCAGGGGUCUCUAAUCCCAGGGCCAUGGACUGGUACUGGUCCACAGCCUGUGAAGAACCAGGGUGCCCAGCAGGAGAUGAGUGGUGGUGAGCAAGCAUUACCCCUGAGCUCUGCCUCCUCUCAGAUCAGCGGCGACAUUGGAUUUUCAUAGCAGGGUGAAU